Molecule: ribosomal RNA, 253 nt
Filed under: uncultured bacterium
Lineage: Bacteria
Description: partial 16S ribosomal RNA
Rfam family: Bacterial small subunit ribosomal RNA
Source: RNAcentral
UACGUAGGUGGCAAGCGUUGUCCGGAAUUAUUGGGCGUAAAGCGCGCGCAGGCGGUCCUUUAAGUCUGAUGUGAAAGCCCACGGCUCAACCGUGGAGGGUCAUUGGAAACUGGAGGACUUGAGUACAGAAGAGGAAAGCGGAAUUCCACGUGUAGCGGUGAAAUGCGUAGAGAUGUGGAGGAACACCAGUGGCGAAGGCAGCUCGCUGGGACGGUACUGACGCUGAGACGCGAAAGCGUGGGGAGCAAACAGG